GGUUAAGCGACUAAGCGUACACGGUGGAUGCCCUGGCAGUCAGAGGCGAUGAAGGACGUGCUAAUCUGCGAAAAGCGNNNNNNACGUGCUAAUCUGCGAAAAGCGUCGGUAAGGUGAUAUGAACCGUUAUAGCCGGCGAUGUCCGAAUGGGGAAACCCAGUGCAAUUCGUUGCACUAUCGUUUGAUGAAUACAUAGUCAAACGAGGCGAACCGGGGGAACUGAAACAUCUAAGUACCCCGAGGAAAAGAAAUCAACCGAGAUUCCCCCAGUAGCGGCGAGCGAACGGGGAGCAGCCCGGAGUCUGAAUCAGCUUGUGUGUUAGUGGAAGCGUCUGGAAAGUCGCAGGGUACAGGGUGAUACUCCCGUACACUAAAACACACAGGUUGUGAACUCGAAGAGUAGGGCGGGACACGUGGUAUCCUGUCUGAAUAUGGGGGGACCAUCCUCCAAGGCUAAAUACUCCUGACUGACCGAU
This 476-nucleotide ribosomal RNA is filed under the name Escherichia coli. RNAcentral describes it as "partial 23S ribosomal RNA". It matches the Rfam family "Bacterial large subunit ribosomal RNA", at positions 1 to 488 of the family's 2925-position model. The record is from RNAcentral. Lineage: Bacteria; Pseudomonadati; Pseudomonadota; Gammaproteobacteria; Enterobacterales; Enterobacteriaceae.